Long non-coding RNA from Ictalurus punctatus (channel catfish), 419 nucleotides. NCBI's taxonomy places the organism in Eukaryota, Metazoa, Chordata, Actinopteri, Siluriformes, Ictaluridae. The record is from Ensembl.
CAAAGCUGACUUUUAGCUUUUUCUACAAAAUGUGGCACUUUUCAUCACUAAACAAAGCUACAGUAGAAAAUGCUGUAAUGUAUUAAGUCACAGAAUGCAAUCUGAGGCACAGCUUCUUUCUUCAGACAUUCAGAUCUGGAGGAAUUCCUCAAGAAAGAAAAACAUCAAACACAUUCUUUAUAAUCUUCACACAGAUUAAUAACCCUAGUCCUCCUGAAGACCCGUACACAGCUCUUGAUCUUCAGACCAAGUCCUCCAAUGAUGUGUACGACACGCUUGCAACAGUUCACCCGAGUCCUCCUGAAGACCCGUACACAGCUCUGGAUUCUCAGUCCAUCUCUCCUCAUUACGACACUUUAACAAAUGCAAGAAAGCAACAGUGAGAUUGUCAACAUCAAGACCAUGUCGUGAGAGAGAGC